Molecule: long non-coding RNA, 23392 nt
Filed under: Podarcis lilfordi (Lilford's wall lizard)
Lineage: Eukaryota; Metazoa; Chordata; Lepidosauria; Squamata; Lacertidae
Source: RNAcentral
CUGCCACAAAAGAUAACUGUAGCCACAAAUUUGGCUGGCCUUAGGACAAGUUCAUGGAGGAUGACCCUGUUUCUCACCUGUGCUCUUGAGUGUGGGGGGGGAGAUGCCUCUGAAUGCCCAUUGCUGAGAAUCACAAGUGGGGAGGGUGUUGUCGGCCCCUGGAAGAAGAGCAUGUUGGACUCCGUGGGCCUUUGGCCUGUUCCAGCAGAGCUCUUUUUCCAUACUUAUAACCCAAAGUUAGAGAGACUCCCUUCAGGAAUCUGUGGCGGGAGUAGACAGUGAUAAUCAGGAUCCCCUGAUAACUGUCAUUGUUCAGUGUGGAUCACCUAAGUUUCCUGACAAUGCAGAACUUCAUCCCCAAAAUUAUUUGUGGAACAAACAGCCAUGUUUGCUCACUUGGCCGAGUCAGGGGGUUGUGAAGAGGUGAGAUUCAUUGGGAGACCUUAGGCUAGGAGGUGUUUAGGGCUCACAGGACAGUCAUCCUUAGUAUUGCCUCUCUCUGCAAAAAAAGAAGAAAAGUUUGGGGCAUGUUAAAUCCAUGUCUAAUUAAAAGAGCAGCGACUGUCGCUGUGGAGUCUGGAUAAGGAGAGCUCUAGUGAUCAGUCACAUGUCGCUUACCAAUGAAGAAGCCAUGAAGGAUUUGAAGUCUGCUUGCCAGUAAUGUCUUAUACAUCUUUGCUAGUUUAGUAGGGGUCAAAUACCACUGGUACAUCAUUUUCAUAUCAUUUUCUUUAAAUGUGCAACAUUCCAUAAAUUUUAAAUAACCUUUCCCAAUCUGCCACCUGAAUAUUAUGUCCCAAAUCCUUUGCCCAAUGUAUCAUUCCCAACUUGACCUGUUAAUCUUUUGUAUGCCACUCUAAAAGCAAGCUAUACAUUUUAGAUAAUAAUUUAACAUUAUUUUCUCACAAAUCUUUUUGAAAUCUUGAUAUUUCACAACUAAAACCUUUAUUUUUAACUAUCUUAAAUAUAUCAUUCAUAAAUAGGACUGUUCUUAAACCGAGGUACCACUGAAUUCACUUUUUUCUAAGAUAUUGCUUCUACAGGGUGUUUUUUUGCUGUACUAAGUUCUUGUAUAUUUCUCAUACCAUAAAGAUUGAUUUUCUUAGAUCAUUCUGAACACCUUUAUGCACCUUAGCUUCUCAUACCAUAAGUAUGCAUGCCAUCCAAAUCUGUUGUCAUAUCCUUCCAAAUCUAGUAAAUCUGCAUUUUUCAAUAUUAUCCAUUCCAAGAGCCAGCAAAGCCAGGACACCUCUUAAUAUAAUUUUAAAUCUGGCAGGGCGAAGCCUCUUUCUUUAGCAUCUGUUAGCAAUUAAUAUUUUAUUCUAGGUCUCUUCCUUUGCCAGAAAUAUCUUUUUGCCAUUCAUUGAGGCAUUCUGUGUUGCUGAUCACCAGGACGGACUGAAAUAAAAAUAACAUUAUUGGCAUUAAAUUCAUUUUUAUAACUGAUAUUCUUCCCCCAAAAGAUAACUUCAUCCUACCCGAUAUUUCUAAAUUUCUCUAGAAUCUCUUUCCAAGUAUUUAUAUAAAUGUCUGUAUGUUAAUAUUUUUAGCUUUAAACCAUACCCCCAAAUAUUUAAUUUUCUUAUGUAUACCUAGAUCUGUAAGUUGUUGUAGCUCCUUUUAUAUUGUUCCGUCACGUUUUUCACUAAGGCCUUAGUUUUAUUUUUAUUUAAUUUAAAGCCUACUACUUGUCCAAAUUCUUGGAUCCUCUCCAGAACCUUUGGUAAACUAUUCUUUGGAUCUUCUACAGUAAUCACAAGGUCUGGUCCUGCUUGAAGGUUUUCCACAGGCGUCUUUGUGCCCUUCUUGGGCGCUGGACCUAAUGGACCACUUUUGUGUCCUUCAACCUAUGAUGACACACAAACGUCGCCAACAUCAUAUAGGGGAGGGAACAAGGGGAGGCAGCCCUCUGACAGGUGGAGGGGAAAGUGUCUUUAUUCCGACAUGUGACACCACCCCGUGGAAUGCCCUCCCAUCAGAUGUCAACGAAAUAAACAACUAUCUGACUUUUAGAAGACAUCUGAAGGCAGCCCUAUGUGGGGAAGUUUUUCAUGGUUGAAGUUUUAUUGCUCUGUAAUUAUUAUUAAUAAUAUUCUGUUGGGAGCUGCCCAGAGUGGGUAUGUUAUGUACUGAGUUGAAUAGGAUCCAAAGGGCAGCAGUCUGAUUGGUCCUAAAACAAGAGGGUCCAGAAUGAAGCAGUCGGAUUGGUCCUAGAACAAUGGGGUCCAGAAUGCAACAGAAUGAUUGGUCCACAGGAGCCACCCAAUCCAGCUCCAGGUGGAUGUGAAUCUGCAACCUGAUUGGCCUACGGGAGAAUCCCGGAAUUAGCCAAUCACGUGUGGCCCAUUGUGUAAAUAAUGUAUAUAAAGUAGACAUUCUGGGGGAACUUCCAUUCCUCCUCACCAACUAUGAGCUGAAUACAUAGCAUGAAAUCCACUCUCAACUCUGAGUAUAUUUCAGGGGCGUUGUCCAUUCUAGGCAAAGUGGCCACUCCAGUCAGCUUCUACCUGGGGUUCCCAAUGUGGCCUUUGGCCCCUCCCAUUUGUAAUGAGGGCUGCUUUUUGGACCAAGGAUGGUGUGGAAGGGGCUGCGUGGUGUUGCCUGUCAGCAGUGGGGGUGCGCAUCGGGCCAGACCCCCAACUCAGGGUGCCCGGGGCAAGGGGUGCGUGCCACCGCCAAGGAGCAGGGGAAGGUGCUGGAGGGGACCGAGGGAUAAAACCAAGCCGAAGGUGGAGGGGAUUAGGGCUUAUCUGCUCCCCUCGCCAAUAAUAUUUUUAUUCAAGUUGGCUCCCAUGCUUGUAGAGAUCGGUUGCUGGAGGCUGCGGGGGGGGGGGGGGCAAGGCUGCUUUUGCUCUCUGGUCCUCCUUGCAGGUUUUCCACAGGGGUCUGGGUGGCCCCUCUUGGGCGCUGGACCAAAUGGGACACUUUUGUGUCCUUCCUUCCACGGGGUGAGUGGAGGCUCACAGUGAACCUAUGAUGACACACAAAGGAGACCAACAUCAUGUAGGGGAUGGAGGAAGGGGAGGCAGCCCUUAGGCGGGGGGGAGGGGGGAGGUGUCUUUAUUCCAUCAUGUGCCACCACCCCGUGGAAAACGCAGGGAAAGGAGAGCAGGCUGCACCGGUCAGUAGCCCUGAUAGUGGAGCCAGAGUGAGUCCUGCCUGAUCUUUGAGAGGGGUCAAUUCCACAGGCAUGUGUUGUUCCAGCUGUUAGUAUCUAAGGAGAGAAAUCAGAUGCACCUACUGCCGAAAUGACGCUCCUUGGGGGAGCACUGUGUAUUUAGGGUGGGGCUCAGGAACGCAGGGAAGGUGCCCUGCAUAAUGUAUGGGGCAGCACAGCCCAUGGAGCCCCUUCCGGAAGCUGCCAGACUGCAACUCUCAUCCUCUCUGACCCCGGCAAUGCUGGAUGGGUUGGAGAGGAGCUGGAGUCCAGCAUUAUCCAGAGGACACCCCAUUUGAUGCCCCCGAUAGACAGAAUCCAGCCUGUAAAUAAGGAACGUUAAUGCAUCCACUCAAAACACAUUUAACUAAGCAGAAGCCCCACUCAACGCAAUAAGGUUUACUUCUGACAACGGGUGGAGAUGGUGAGGCUGUAUUUGCAGAGGGCAUUUGAAGAUGAUGCCCUGUUCAAUUUCUUUUUAUUUUUCUUCCUGUCUGAGGCCUCUAGAGCAAGAAGCUAUCCUGCGUGACAUGGGUCAAGGGGUUUAUUUUAUACUCCUCUAUUAAUCCAACGAUGCAUGCAUUUUCACAACUGCAUAAGGUCUUGUGGGGAGAGGAAGGUUUCCUAGAAUUGCAGAGUUGUGAGGGACCCUGAGGGUCAUCUAGUCCCACCCCCUGCAGUGCAGGAAACAUUUGCCCAACGUGGGGCUCAGACCCACAACCCUGGGAUUAAGAGUAUCGUCCUCUGCCAAUCAGACAUCUUAAAUAGAAAACAAGAUUGAAGGUGAGAAAAUUUAUUAGGACUUCUAAAAGUGUGACUGUCUCUUUAAGAAGUGAGCUGCAGAGGGAAUUCUGGGAAAAGGAAGGAAAAUGCAAAGCAAGAGCAACUUAUUUUUGUUUGGUUAUUUCUGCUGAUUUUGACUGGAAUGAAUCCUCUCAAAGGGCCCUUGGAAAACUGCCCAACCUGCUCUUGGCGGGUAAAUGGUUUUUAUGUCAGUCACUCUGGUCUGGAGAGAAACUCCUGCUGGGCCUGAGAGGCAGAUUUAGUCUCCUCAGGAGAUACUGAAGUGGGUUUUAUAUCCCCCCAGACAAAAGAAAGGGAGGAGGGUCUCUCCAGAGAACGAGGCUCCUGAGAACGUGUAGAGUUCGGCUCCUGAGUCAGCGUCAGAAAAAGACACACGUCCCCCUUCAUAGUCCAGAGUCACCCGGAUCCUCCUGGGCUCCUCACUCAGGGACAGAGGAGAGGAAACAGGGGAGGUGCAGGCAAAGUAGCCCCCUCCCCACUUCCCCACAGCCCAGAUCCCCCACUCAGGGCUUAAGUCAAAGAUGCCCUUUCUCUCCACAGACUUCCUGGCGACCCCCAGAGCCCACCAUUCCCCACUUUCCACAGUGACUUCCCAGAAAUGGCUGCCUGCUGUGAAUCCCUCACGUCCCAACACACAAGGCCGGUCACUGAAUCUCUCAGGAUUGUCAGGCAGGGCUUGAGGUUUGUCUCCCCUUCUCACGCUUUUCCCAUCCUCGGACAGGAUGAGUUCAGGAUGGGCUGUGUCUGGAUCCAGAGUGACAUUUGCUGUUGGGAAGAAGAUGAGGGAAAGAGAAGAAUAUGCAGAGUCAGCUGAGAGACAGAAAUGGACAUACUGAUAAUAAUAAUAAAACCCCCCGAAAACCCCAGGUUCCCUUUCAGAUCAAGGGGAUUUCUUUGCAUCGCAUGCUAGACUGAGACCCCUGACUCUCAUCAGAAUAAAUAUCUUCCUUCUUGUUUUUUAAAUCAGUUCCCUUCACUUUCUUAUAUCCGAUGUGUAUUAUUCCUGCCCUUCUCUCAUCCCAGGCAUUUUCUAGGAGGAAAAACCACCCAUUAAACCUUUUACUCAGCUCUUCUGUGUUAUCUAAGGGGAAAGAGAGGAGAAUUGGAGGAGGCAGGAGAGAGAGAAGCUGCUUUCCUCUGACAAUCUCUGUGGGAAUUGGCCUUUGGGGACCUCUGGUUGGGCUGGGGGAGGAGGACCCCCCUCUUCUAACAACAACAGCAACAACAAAUUAUAUUUGCCUACUGCCCUUCAUCUACAGGUCUCAGGGUGGUUCACAGCAUAAAAAUACAACAUAAAACCACAUAUAGGCCUCCCCUCACUUUCACGGGGGUCACGUUCUGGGCCCUCGUGCCCACAAGUCAAAAUCGCAUUAAGUGGGGAGCCUGUUUAUUCCAGCUCUCCAUCUCUCUCACCCACUUGGUCUCUCCUUGCCUUCCUCCCCACCAUCUUGGAAGUUUAGGCCUUGCCGCCAGGGAAGAGGAGGCAGGUGGCAGGGCAAUUUUACAAAGGACUGCUUAUUCCAUGCUUCUCUUUUGGAUGUAACAUAUACCAUAAGACUAGUUCCCUGGGAGGAGGAGGAAUAACUCAAAAAGUUACCAGUUAGGGGCUUAGACAUUCAUGGCAGGCAAGUGUAGAGUUGCUGUAUUUCGAAGAGCAAAAAGAGGACACAUUUGCCAACUUCUACUCUUAACCAUGGAUCGCUAUGACAACACUCAUUUUAAAUACCCCUACUCUAUGUAGGCUUUCAAAGCUGUGAUAUACUGCUAGUAGCAAUGUUCUUAACUUUCAACAACCAAAUAAUAAUAAUAAUAAUAAUAAUAAUAAUAAUUGCUCCCUCACUUGCCACUUUAAAGUAUUUGGGCUCGUGUUCACAUCUUUGUGAAUGCAAGUGUGCACAGAACAAUUUAUUAAACUGUUAAACAUGUACAUAUGGACUCUCCUUAAGGGCAGGGGGGUGUUAACUCUCGCCCUCCCAGAUUCCUCCUCCAAGAUCUUGUAGCUGAGCCAGCGUCCUUUUAGUUCAGCCACAAGAGAAGGGUUUUAUGCAGGAUGUGGCUAGCUUAAGAUGCUGCUCUGUUGCGAUUCUUUGCUCUAGGCUAGCUUAGCUGGGUGCCUUAGAUCUGAAUCUAAUGCACUAGAAUUUUUUUUCAUGGGUUACUGUAAACCAAACCAAGCAACUUGAGACAUUUUGCCAAAUUUUAAAAAUCCGCCCAGGGGAGAAAUUUUAACCAUGAAAAUAGAGGACCUGUCUGAGAAAAAGGUCACAUGGAAAAGCAACCCAACUCUCUCUAGGCAGGAAUGAAACUCUUCCCUCUUUUAUCUGAUCCUUCUGGGCAGUUUCUCUCCCCCCCCCCCUUCUGCACCUUCAAGUCCACCCUCUCUGCCUUUGUGGUACAAACAGCAGGGGGAGAGUCAAGCUGUACAAAAGAGACUCUUGACCCCCAUGAAACACUAGUCCCCCUCCUGUGAAUUGGGGUCUUCAUGUGAAAUUUACCUUUCUGAAGAUUUCUGAAUGACUGAACAUCUGAGGAAGCAAAAAGACAGGCUUAACAGGCAACAAUGCAGUAGCUUAAAAAGAAAUCUUUUUUUACAAAACAUCAUCAAAUCAUAGCAUCUGUUGUUUCCUUAUUUCAAGCAAAAGAUGAAAUCAUGCAAAGACAACAACUGUAGGACUAAGUAGUGAUGUUAAUUAUUCUCCAAAAUAUAAUUCUUGAGAAUGUAAUAUCACUAGGCCUAAGGAAUUAAAACAACUAACGAGUUUAGCUGUGAUUCCCGCAUUGCAGGGGACUGGACUAGAUAAUCCUUGGGAUCCUUUCAGACUCUGCUAUUCCAUGAUUUCAUGGGAAAAUCAUAAAUGGUAAACCAUACUAGAAAAUGGGGGAAUACAAUCAUUCAAAAUCCACAAAUGAAAUGGGGAUCUGAACUGGAUGGAUGAAGAAAGGUUUAACAUCUGCCCCAAGUAAACUGGUGGGGAAAAGCUGUUGAAACUGGAAUUUCCAAUUAUGCUGACAAACCAAAUUGCAAAGGAAAAAUUGGCAGAGCUUUUCACUGUAAUUCCAAGGGUCUUGUGCAAUGGGAAGUCCUCUCUCAUAGAAUGGGGCUGAUCUCCUAAGAACUGGGGGAACUCUGAGGAGAUGGGGAUGGCUGAAGCACGAGAAAUGGCUGGUGAGGUUGAAACUCUGAGGAAGAGGCGGCUCAGGCCUUGCUCUGCUGCUGGGAGACCAGCCUGGGCAGGAGGUGGAGGAGGGACUGUGUGCUUGCGGGUGCCCCUUUUAACACACUUCACGAGGGGGAAAUCCAAGCAAAUCAAGAGAAGCCCCAAAAGAACAUCCUCAGAUUGUGUGGAGGGAUAACAAAAUGCAAGGAAGAUUCCUUAUACAUGAGAACUCAACAAGAUGGACAUUGAACUGACCCUGCAGGAUGCUCCUUAAGGGCUUUUGUAAGAUAUUGUAAGGCUCUGAGGCUUUUCCCUACAAACAAGCAGUAUAUAGAUUUUAAGAAAGAAAGCAAAAUCUAUAAAAUUAAGGGAGAAACCAGGAUAAUAGUCUAUAGGCAGGAAAGGAACUGGCGACUGGUGUGCAGGUUCUUCGCAGGGACAAGCUCUGCCCCCAAGCCAAGUCUUCAAACCCCUCCCAGUUCAUUCAUGGGACAGACAAUGUACCCAAACGCCAGUAGAGGACUGUUUCCCAGAGUGACGCCAUUGAUGGGGGUCCCAAAGUCUGCAGAACAGACGGUUCAACACUCAUGAAAUAUCAGUCCCCAUCCCUCUUGUGAAAUUGUUCCUCCCCUGGAAAUUUACCUUUCUGAAUCGGUUUUCUGUAUAAAAGAGCAUCUGAGGAAGCAGAAAGAUAUAAAGUGUAAGGGCAACACUCUUCCACCAGAAAUAAAUAUCCAUACAAAAGUAACACUUCAUAACGUGGCAUCCUUAAAUUCAAGUACAAUUAUUAAAUAUUAAUUAAACUGUGCAAAAAAAUAGUUAAAAACAAGAAAAUCAUAGGAAGAAUCUAUGAAAAUAACUAAAGCUUUAAAACUCAGUAAUCAUAAAGCAAGCUUACAAUUAAGAGAAUAAAAAAAUUCAGCAUGAAUUUUGCUGGUCUCUGAACUUUGUCCCUAAAUUGGGCUCUACGUUGGAGGACUGGAGGGGAGGCAGGGCAAUAGGAAUCCCGUAAAAGGAGGCAGAGGGGAGAUGGAGGCAGCCUUAACAUCUUCCCCAAGUAAAGUGGUGGGGGGAAUCAUUAAAGCCAAAAUUGUGAAACAUAAGGAGAAGGAAAGUUUGAUGAGGGAGGAUUGGCAGAGCUCUCAGGCAAAAGGAAACCCUUCCUCACAAACCUUCUACAAAUCUUUAAGGUUGUUAACAAGCAUAAUUGUGCCCUUUGGGGCUCAUGUGCUCUUGCUUCCACUCUCAAUGGGGGAACUCUCAGGAGAUCUUGAAGGCUGAAGCCCUAGAUAUGGCAGCUGCAGGGGGACGUCUGAGGAGGAGACGGUUCAGGCCUUGGCUCCAGGGCUGAGAAAGAAGCCUGAGCAGGAGGCAGAGGGGGAACUGGGGGCUUCUUAAUACCCUUUGACCCCAUUCAGAGCAGGAGAACCUCCAAAAGGACAAACUCAGAUUGUGCAGACAGGGAUCCACAAGGAAAAGGAGGCUUCGUAUAACUGUAAACAGAUGCACAUGGGAGGAAAAAAUCCUGACUUUGCUCUACACUCUGGUUCAGGCUUUCUUUACAGGAUCCAGCGUCAUAAUAUACAUGGGCCAUUCUGGAGAACAGGAAAUGAAGGCUGGGGCACCAAGAAGGAAGGUAACCUGGGAUUGCUCAAUUCCAUGCAAUAAGAGCCUGGUAUGUUCAGUUCUGAAGAAGAAACAGAAUUCCCAGGGUGAAAUCCUGGCAGCCAGUUUUCAUUACCUUUAAAUUGUUUCAUUGCAUCCUCCACAAAAUCACAGGAUUCCAAGAUCCUGUUCCUCAGCUCUGGAGGGAAAGCCAGUGGCUUCUCUGGACUCUCUCUUUCCUCAUACCUGGUGAAAAGAAAAACAGUUAAUGGCCCCAUUUUGGCCCCAUCUCCCUGAUUAUUGCAGGAGAUCUCAAUAACAUGAACAAAGUUGAAGUUCAUUUUGCAACAGGUAAUUUUCAGGGUUCAGCUUCAUCUCUUGACACCCACCUCCAAGCCCUGGUCAGUGGCUUCAUAAGGAUGCAAAACAGCACGAGAGACAAGAUGUAACCCCAAGCGACACCACCGGAGGACUCCCAUGGCUUCAAACUAUGCUGCCCCAAACAACUUUCUGGGAAGGUCCCAGGACUUAAGAACCAAACCCCUGAGGUGGAAUGCCUGCAACCCCUCCCUCCCUGAGCUUCUCCAGAGGAUGUGAGUGAUGUCCAAAGCUGCCAAGUGGUCAAGGAAAACAACCUCCACCCUCCCUUCACCCCCUCUCUCACCCAGGAAGGGCACAACCCCAUGCCCCAUUGGACUCUCCCUCCAGAGGCAGGAAACAACCGGACUUUCACCCCCCCCACUCAAGACCACCUUCAGCCUCUCACGGUGGAAAUGCUCCCCCAAAAAAGAACCCACCCAUUCUAGCCCUACAGACCUUCCCUCUCUCUGUGCCUCAAAGGGGCUGAGUUACCAGAGUUGAGGGGCUUCUAGUUGGACAUUGAAAUCUGUUGGUACAUCCUAAGGUCUUCUGAAGCAUCUUUGGCACUUUCUCUUCUAGAUGUUUGAAAUUACCACAAAGUCCAUGAAUGUGCAAGAAAGUGCAAGAGAAAGAAAAGAGCGCCUAUCCCUUUGUGAAGUGAUGUGGGAAGGGAGGGAGGAGGCAGUUGACCUUGAACCUUAGAGAGAGAAUUGGGGGGCUACAAGUUCAGAAGAGGGGGCUCUACUUUUACCUGUGAGGUGCUGCAGGGAGUGAGUCCUACAGUCUCCCCCCUGCAGCCCCUGGAGGGCCAUGUCUGAGGUUCUGGCAUCUCAGCUUCAAAGAGUGAUGCUAAUGGAAAUGAGCCAGAUCCACUUACCUCUGCAAGGUCCUUCUCACAUCCUAGAGGGGAAAGGAGAAGGGAAUUCACUGCACACCACAGGCCACACUAGGAAGACCCCCUCAGACCCUGGCCCUCAGAUGUCAGUCUGCCUGGCACAUGCCAAGGUUUUGGGUAGGAAUGGCUGAAUCAGCCAGUUUUGGUUUCUCGCAGCUUUUAUUUUCCCAGUCUGAAAUUAUUAAUUGUUCUGAGAUUUCAAGUUCUCCACAUUUCCAUAUUUUAAAAACUUUAAUCCAGUUUGCAUUGUGCUAUUCAGACAAACGUAAGCCUACAGGAUAAUCCUGCCAGGGCACCGUCCCAGUCCCCAAAUGUCAAAUUCUAUUUUCCUUCUGGAAAUAAAAAACACCUGCAGCAUAAAAUGUCUCCAAAGGGGUAAUAAAACAACUCCGUGUUUCUUUGGGCUCAUCCACACUUCUCCCUUUCCUGUGCCCAGAAAACACGAGUCCAAGUGGUUUUAUCUUUGCCCUGCCGCUUUCCCUCAGGAAAAACCUGCUCCUUAGAGCAACAUCAAAGCAAACGUCAAUCUGGAUAAAACCUGGCUGAGGUUUGCUCUAAUUCAGCAGUAAAGAGCGGGUUUUCCUGGAGGAAAGGGGUGGGACAAGCAGCAGUCUGGAUGAGUCCCUCUGUCUUGCUCUUUGGUCACUGUGACUGAGCACCAUUUUGGGCCCAUCUGUGUCCAUGGGGAAGGGGAUCAACCCAGAAGUUGUGGAGGAAACGGGAAGAGAAGCUUGUUCAAGAGACUGGCUCAUGUCGGAAGGAGGCCUGAACGCAUCCCAGACGAAGCCCCCCACAGCUGAAAGGCAUUCGGAGACAAAGCAUCAGCAAAGAGCAGAAGAUCAGCUCCUGUUCCAUCAAGAACACAGACGAAUCUCUAGUCUGCAUUCAGGUGAGUUAAGCAUCCCAGGUCUCUUUGGUUUUCCUGUCCAUUACAAACCUGACUAGAGGCUCCAUCAACUCAGCCCCUACACUAUUUGCAUGCAUGAAAGGGGCAGCCUUUUCCUAGAGCCCAACCUUGGGCUGUUCCUGCCACCAUCUUACCUGCAGGAGUUCACUCGCUGGCUGCUGACUCUUCUCCUCCAUCUCCUGGAUGAUCCUCUCAAGAGAGGAGAGUUUCCUGGAGAGUCUGGCCAGCUGCUCAUCCCUUCUCCCUGCAAUCUCCUUCUCCACCUCUUCCACACGAGUCAGCAAACGUUUUUUUUGUUCUUCCAGGAACUGGCGCAGUUCUCUGAACUUCUCCACAGUCUUCAGCCUCUCCGUUUCUGUUAAUUUCUGCAAGAAAAGAGGAGGUCAGAGUGUGGAAGGUGGUCAGCCUUCAAAACACCAGGAAGAGAAUUGUGAGAAUUCCACAGGGAGGACACUUCUGAUUUUUCAGAGACAUGAAAUCUUCAGUGGCUAAAGAAGUAAGCCUUUAUUUUGAGGGGAGGCCCUCUCCAUUGCUGUUUCUGUUGACUUCGAAUUUGGAGAGGGCUACAGCCUAAAGGAAGGAGCAUUUGUUUUCUAGCCAUGGAUAUGUGGGAUGUAAAAACGUAUUGCAGUCAGAUACAACAGUCCUACAAUGCACAUGCUGGGGAAUGCUUUGUAUCACUCAGGAGAAAACUUGCUAGUUCCUCCUGAGCUGAGACAGACUUCCUUUGCAUGUGAGUGAAUGUGAGUGUGGCCUGUUCUUGGGAGAGGAGCACACGGCCUCCAUGUUCUGCUCUGUGUCUUCUCCAUUGUGUGUUCCUAGGAGUUAGGAGAAGUGACUGCUCAGUCGCAGUCACUUGAUACUAUUUCCAUUAUGGGAUAAUUCACAAAGUUAUAUGUUGUUCUGUAAAUUAAGUCUGCCUUCAGGAAUCUCAUUGUGAACUGGAUGAUUGUGAGUAAACUAGUUUUCUGUUAACUUUAAUCAGAUGGUCAUGUCUAUUCUUUUAGGAGGGAUAUAAAAUAGGGAAACCAGGAAUCCUAAAUAGUGAGGCUCAGAUGAGCCUGCAACUAGCUAACCGCUGUGUAAUUUAAAAGGGGGAUUGUUUAUCAUAGAAUCAUAGCGUUGGAAGAGACCACAAGGGCCAUCGAGUCCAACCCCCUGCCAAGCAGGAAACACCAUCAGAGCACUCCUGACAUAUGGUUGUCAAGCCUCUGCUUAAAGACCUCCAAAGAAGGAGACUCCACCACACUCCUUGGCAGCAAAUUCCACUGUCGAACAGCUCUUACUGUCAGGAAGUUCUUCCAGAGUUUAACAACUCUGCUAAGUUAUAAAACUUGCCAGCGAAAGUUAUGGAUAUAAUAAAAUAAUAUAUCUUCUCCUGCCUCCCUAAACAUCCCCACAGGAUAUUCCCUGCAUGUUUUGGGGAAUGGCAUAACCAGAGUUCAUAGCUGUCCAGAGAACGUCUGUGGACAUAAAACACCCUCAGUUUAGACUGGGACCAUGGAGGUGUAGGAAGGCAACAGAAACAGAGGAGGAUGAAGAGAAAGUGCAGAGUUUAUCCCCGUAGCUCCCUGAAUUUCCUAAAGAUGAACAAGAGCGCACAUUUAGAAAGACAAUUCUUUAGUAAUAUUGAUGGUAAAUCAGGAUUUGAACUGAACUACUUCCACCCUCUCAGCUCACAAGUCCUCAGGCUCCUCCUUCAGUGCUAUUCAUAUAAUAAACAACAAUGGAAAAUAAACUCAAAUUAGCUGCAUUCAAAAGUGAAUUUGCCUAAUUUACUAUUGCUGAAAAAAUAUGGAGAAUGAAACAGAGCAAUCUUUUGAAAUUCACACCUCUGAAUUUUUCAAGGUUGAACAAGCCAGGUAAUGUUCACAAAAAAUGUAUUUAUGAGGGUAAAGUACAUUUCAAAAUAUUUAUACAAGGAGGUAGCCACCCUAACAUCUGAUUCAUUUUCAGAAUAAUAAAUGAAUAAACAAACUGAUAUGGAAAAAGGAGAAAUGGGGAGAAGCUGAAAUGGGCAGAUUUCCCCAUCCCUCCUCCAUCCUGACUCGACUCUUCAAGUGAUUGUUCCCUCACUAGUAACAAGAGUGGCACUUACCAGGAGGUCUUUGCUUUCCUUGUCCAGGGCUGCUUGAUGGGCCAGAAUUUCCUCUCUCUCUUUCCUCAGAAUCUCCAGGCGGCGACAGAUCUCUUCCUAAAGAGAAAAGGAAAAAGUCAGGUCUGAUUGAGACACACAGAGAGGAGGUGAAUAGUGUGCUGGCUUCUUGCGCCCAGUGGUCUUGCUAUAAUAGCAGAGUAGUUUUUUUUGAGGAAAUAAAAGUCCAGAGGUUUUCAACCUUUUUGGGUCCAUGACUCCCUGGACCAGCUACCUUUUUUCUGUGCCAGCCCUGUGGGGCUCAGGGACCCAGUUAGGUCACCCCUUGCUUACAGACUUCUACCUAGUCUUUGCAGAUGCUACUCAGGGAUAUCAAGGGAGCUCCCUUUGUCCCCCUGGAAGAGAAAAAGACUUCAACUCCCUCCUCCCAGCCAUGCCAGGAGCCCUCAGGCUCCCCCUGGGCUGCUUUUUACAUAAUAAACAACCACCAAUUCAUGCCAUGCCUACUUUGGACCUGAGAAUUAAAAAGAAAACCUCCCAAGAAGAAUCCACAGCUAUUUCUCCCCCUCAAGAUCCAGGGAUCUCCUACCUUGUACUUCUCGGAAGCCUCCUCCAGAGGAAUCACCUCGUGGUGUCUGUGCUCCUUGGAUCUGUCACAAACCACACAGAUGGGGGCUUCAUCCUCUUUGCAGAAGAGCUUCAGGGGCUCCUGGUGAUCCUUGCAGACUCCUCCUUUUCCUCCUUCCUCCUUUCCCUCUUGAAGGCUGAGAUUCUUCGCUAUUUCUGCCACAUUAGCCAGUUGCCGGUUGGGGAUGAGGCUCCUUCUCUGGACUCUUUCUCUGCACUGAGGGCAGGAAGCCUCUGCCUCUGAUUCCCCCCAGCACUGGAUCAAGCAGGAUCGGCAGAAGUUGUGCCCACACUCUGGGAUGAUCACUGGAUCCUUAAAAUAUUCCAGGCAGAUGGAGCAAGUGGCUUCAUCGCAAAGAUUCUUGACGUGAAGUCCAGAAGCAGCCAUGGCUCCCUUGCACAGAAGAUCCGAGUUAAGUUUCACUUUCUCAGUUUUCAGCUACUGGCAGUUUCCCUUCCUGGAAAUGACUCAGAAACUCAGUGACCACGUGAUCUUUUUUUUUUUUUUUUUUUUUUGUCCCCAGGUCUUGGCAGUUGCUGAAUGUUUAUUCUUCCCAUGCUUUUGAUUACGCAUACAAACACGCAGGUGCCUAGUAAUUUGUGGUAUUCAUACUGUAACAUUUUCAUUCAAAGGCUUGCUUGUCAUUUUUGAAUUGGAGAACAUCUGCUGCCGCCCUAAAUGGACGGCAAAUUUUGAUUUAGCAAGUGGGACUUGAUUCUGUGAAGAUAACUCUGUUAUAAGAAUUUCAAGGUCUUAUAUAUCUAAAAUAAAUGUUCAUAAAUGUACCAAGCAAACACAUACAUAAAUGUAUAAACCACAUGUCUGAAACCCCACAGAAAAAGUCCUGAAACCAUUUUGUCUCUCCCAAAUGACCUCAAAUAUUUCUCUGCAAGGUCGAAAGAAAUGGGGAACCUCCCCAUUGUCUCUUUGCUCACUAAUCCUGUCUCAAGGGCACAUUUAAGAUGUGAAUAGGGUGAGCCUGUGACCUGGAUUCAGGAGAGUAGUUAUCAUAACAAAAGAGCAGCCAGGAUGCCCAGGUAAUCCAAUCAGGUAACCUGGCAGACAGGGUAAAAACAAUGCACUCAGAUUUAUUGUGUAGUCCGCCCCUUCUCUGAUGUUUCUGGGGGGGGGGUGGUCUAGGGCUACAGGGUGGGCAAUUUCAAAGUCUAUAUAAGGGCGGGCACACCUUUGUCCGGGUCCUCCUCCGUCCUCCUGCCUGUGAGGGGAGCACCCUGUUGCAACAGCUUUAAUAAAGAUCAGGCUUAUAGCCACUUUGCUUUCAUAUAUCCUGGUCUGGUCUCUGUUCAUUUCCCGGCCAGUUUGAGCCUUAAAGGUACGCUCUCUCCGAAGGUCCAGUCUUCCUUAAGAAGGUGAACCCCUUGAAGGCACCUCUCAAUAUUCUUAUUUCCUUAAUUACACAUUUACGGUAUUCAAAAGCCAAUUGAAACGAUCCUAGUUUAAUGAGUGCAACAAAACAGAUGAACUUGUUCCAGUGAUGCCAGCUUUUCCAAGUCUGGUAGUCAUUUCCACCACCAGCUCCCUGCUGCCUCUUAGCGCCCCCCCCCCCAUGUCAUGCCCCCUCCCCUUUCCCAGGGGGCAACACUGCCCACUUUGAGAAGCACUGCUUACAACACUAGCAUGAGCACUUCAAAUUAACCCCAGAAACAACCCGGCAGCCAAGGCAGCUGUUUUAGGGGUUCUGUGAGUACCAGCGGCAACCCUACCCAGGGAUCUGGCUGAUAGUCGUCUCCGAGGGCACAGCACACGGCAACAACCCAAUCUGGAAGUCCCUGGAGAAACUGGAUCAAGCGCUCUGACCUGCCACUUCCACGUCUCAGCUUUCAGGAAAUCCCGCCAGGGCCACGGCUUGGGCGCAGCUCCCUGGCCCCUCUUCCCUGACCCAGCCCUGCAGCUCGUGAGGAAGGAUGGCGAGGAACUGCUCCAGGGUCAGCAGGUCCACAGUAGUGUUCUGAAUAAUGUUUUUUAUAGGGUAGGGCAGGGGGCGCAGGAGCAAUGCCCCCCCAAAAAAGUUUGGGAUCCGCUGGAAGUAUCUGGGCUACAAGAAUCUGUGGCUCCCCCUGCCUGAAUCUGUUCUGGGUUUCCCCCUGACCUUCCCUAGCAGAUCUGGGUGGGCAGGAAGGGGAGGAAGGGGACAAAGUCUCCUUGUGCUAGUCCAGGGGCGCCGACUUAUAAAAAAUAUUGGGGGGGUCCAUACCGGGGUCCUGCCGCUGGUUCGCUCGGGUAGCCGGGAGAACGCAGUUCAAGGUGGCGGUGUUGGGGAGAGACCCUCGCUCAGGGCGCCACAAGACUUGGCGGCCGGCGGCCUAUCUGGGGGGUUUUGGAGCGUAUUUCGGCGGAGCGAUUGGGGAGGAGGGGGCUUGUUGCCAGAUUCUUCAGCUGGGCCGGAGAUCCGCUGCUGGGGGUCCCUGGGCCGAGUUGUGAGCACGGCCUGCUGAAGGGAGAUCCAGCCGAUUGCGCGACGGGGACGGCCGGGGCUCUCCGGCUAGGGCGCGCGGCUGGCUGGCUGGCGAGGGAGCAGGUGGGGAGGAGGCGGGGGUCCUCACUCUCUUAGGAAAUGCACCCGCGCGCCCGAUUGCCACGAAGUCCGAAGGGUGCGUGUGUGGAAUUAAAAAGCAAAAACGAGAUACGGGCAGGGCAGGCAAAGAGUUUUCCACAAGAGGAUGGAGGACAGCUUGAAGAGAAAAUCACUCAGGAUGAGACAGUCAAAUCAGCCAUGAUAAAAUGGGCUCAGGAUAUUGGGUAUAACAUCAUGUUUGAGGACUGGGAAAGGUUAUGGACCACCGGAAUGAAAUUCACGGCAUGUAAUGCCUUGAAGGAAAAUAUUAUGAAAAUGAUUUAUAGGUGGUACAUGACCCCAGUCAAGCUUGCAAAAAUAUAUCACCUGUCUGAUAAUAAAUGUUGGAAAUGUAAGGAGGCUGAAGGGACAUUCUUUCACCUCUGGUGGACUUGUCCAAAAGUGAAGGCCUUCUGGGAAAUGAUCUAUAAUGAGUUAAAAAAGGUAUUUAAGUAUACCUUUCCCAAGAAACCAGAGGCCUUCCUCUUGGGCAUUGUUGGCCAGAAAGUGUUAAAGAAGGAUAGAACUUUCUUUAUGUAUGCAACUACAGCAGCAAGAAUACUUAUCGCAAAAUAUUGGAAGACACAAGAUUUGCCCACACUGGAAGAGUGGCAGACGCAAUUGAUGGACUACAUGGAACUGGCUGAAAUGACUGGCAGAAUCCGAGAUUUGGGAGAAGAAACAACGGAAGAGGACUGGAAAAAAUUUAAGGACUAUUUACAAAAACAAUAUAAGUUGUAUGAAUGUUAAAAAUUUACACGAUUCGGAAACUAUAGCUUCAGCAAUUAGAUUUGGGAAACAGGAAAUUAUAUUUUAAGUAAGAAAAGGUCAAAAUCUAAGGUAAUACUAUGUUUAAUUUAAGAUAUAAGUAACUGAUGAAAAGUAUGUUAAAUUUAGAGGUAUAGUAUUUGAAAAGUACAAAAUAAGGUACGAAACAAGGUAAUAAUUUGCUGAUAUCUUUAUUAUAAAGAAUGCAGGGUAAGGGAGAUGCGAGGAAGUCCAGUUAGUUAUAUAAAAAAUGUGUUGAAUGGUUGGUUUUCUUUUCUUCUUUUUCUUUUUUUCUUUUUCUUGUUCUUUUACUUUUUUCUUCAGUGUAUGUUUCUAACUUUGUAUUUGAAAACUUAAUAAAAUAUUUAUAUAUAAAAAAAGGGAAAAUCCUUUCGCUUUUCUGGGGCGCAGGAAAGUGUCAGAGCUGGAGGUUGGGGAAGGGACCCCCUUUGCUCUGCCCUCUUCUCCCAUCUUAGAUUCGCAUGGGGGUCCCCGCCCGAGCUUGCCUGGCCACCGGGCCACACAAGGGCCGCGCUCUACGCGGCGCACCUUGCUAGCCGCGCAGCUGUCCUCCGCGGCUGCGGAGCGGCCCUGCGCCGGUGCCCAGCCCCUCUGGGCGCUGCUCAAUGGGGUUGCCAAGGAGACAGGCCGGCCGCCCCCCUCCCCCGGCCCGGCGUCCCCCGGCCCGGCGCCCUAUAAAAGCCGCAGACGCGCCAAGCGUCGACAGGCAGAGCCAGCGCGGCGGCGGCGCUCUGCUGGAGGGGCGCCCGAGAUUAUUGGGGGGGCUCUGCCCCCCCAAACAAUUUUUUGAGGGGGCUCGGGCCCCCUCAGGCCCCAUGGAGUCGGCGCCUAUGUGCUAGUCCUAAACCUUGAGUUGGCGUACGCUUCAUUGAAUGCCACCCGAGAUGUGUAUCUGCUCCUGCUUGAAGCACCCCAGAACCCAGAAAAUAAGUCCACAAAGGACCUGGCCAGCUCCCAGUCUUGACUGGUGGCAUCUCUCAGGGGGUCUUGCAGCAGAGGACUUUUGGCAUCAUCUGCUACCAGGCUGCUUUUUAAUUGUAGGUCUCAGGGAUGGUGAGCGGGAUCUUCAUGCAAUGCUUGUGCCCUGUCCCUGAGCCCGUCGUCUUCCUCUCUUCUGUCCCUCACAGCCAAUGGAACAACGCUCCCAAUUCACCCCUGUUCCUUGCUUCCUCCUGAGGGACUGGAAGUGGCCGAAGCUGGGCUGACUGAGGUAAGUGAAGGUUAUCCUGAGGGAGGGCAAGGUUAGUGGCAGGCCUUGAGCAGGGCGAAUGUAACACCGAGCUAAGGAUCAGAGAGCACCUGAGCAUGUGCAGAGUGCAUAUGCCACAUCACUGAGCAACUUCCCAGCCCAGUUUAAUUUGUCUCAACCGUUUCUAUACCGCUUGAUUGCCAUUGUCUCUAAGCAGUGCACAAAGUAUUCCGUACAAUGAGAAAGAGUGGAAAUUAUUAAAAAAAUUCCUGUGAGGUGGGCUAGACAGAGCCUGGGACUGGCUCAAGGUCACCAAUGAGCUUCAUGCCUGAGUGGGGAUUUGAACCCUGGCCUCCCAGGUCCUGGUCCCACACUCUAACUCUAACCACUACACCACACUGCCUCUCAGCAGGUGCUUAUGGAUGGGACUGGGGACUCUGAUUUUACCAGGCGUGGCAUUGCGAAAUCGGGAGUGGGAGUGUGUGUGGGGUCUUGGGCAUCCAUCUUUAAAUGGCGUUUUCUGGAACAGCAGAACCUGAGUGGGGGAUGUUUGGCUGUUUCAGGGCCCAGCGAGCGCCAAGGAGAAGGAGGGGCCUUUCUGCAAGGAGGAGGCAUCCCUGACACAGCCAGGCCAGAGGACGAUGCUCUGGCAAGUCAAAGAGGAGAACUGCGGCAUUGUGGGCUCUCUGGGUAAGGAAUAGCGUUUCCGAGGAGAUAAUCUAUGGUCCUCCAGGUGGGGCUGAGCCACAUCUCCCCUCAGCCCCAGCAAGCGUGGCCAAGGAUGAUGGGAUUUGUAGUUCAGCAACAUCUGAGGGUCCAAGGUUCCCCACAGCUGGCCUAGGGUUUCAGCCCUAACUAGGUCUACUCAGAAGUAAGUCCCAGGGGUGCUUACUCCCAGGUAAGUGGGGUGAGGAUUGCAGCAAACCCCACAAACAGUUCAGGCUGCAAUGCUAAGCGUGUUUCCGAGGGGUCGGCCCCACUGGGGAGACGGCAGCACUUUCUUUUCAUACUCAACUCUACCAGGGCCCAUUGGCUACGAUUCAAGCAUGUUUCCUCAGAGGCAAGUCUUGUGUGUUCAGUGAGUCUUACCCCCCAAUAAACAUGGUUUGGGAGUGCAGCUUAGGUUUCUUCCAUUUGAUAUUAGAGGGAUUUAAAAGAUGCUUCAUUUUGGCUAGGUUUUGUCCCAUAAACAAUAAAAAUCUGUGUGUACUAAACAAUUUAAAUGCAUUCUGCUGGCAUAUUGUUUAUGAAAACCAUCUGUUUAUUUUUCUUUUUAAUUAUUAUAUUAUAUAAGGAGAUAAAAAUGCAACAACUUAGUCCAUAAGUCUAUACUCAUCGAAAACCACAAACCAAAAUAAGUAUCCCUACUUCAUGUCCCGUUCUGCAUGUCAGUCAACUGAGAAAUAAAGUUAUAGCACAGCAGCAUAGAACUGUUAAUUUUUCUGUGGUUCUUUUCAUAUUUAUCUCUUGCUUGUUUUGUCUUAAGAAGGGGGAUGAAAAUGUCAAAAAGGAAUGUGUCCAGUGUCCAGAAUAGACUAAAUUCCAGGAAUAUUAUUUGGAUCCAGAUUCUGCAAAUAAUAACCAUUCUCUCUCUCUCUUCCCAACCCCAGAGGGGCUUCUGAUUCCCAAACUGGACCUUUCCUUCCAAACGGAAAAGGGGGGGAAGAUGUUCUUGCAGGAACCAGAGCCAGGUAAAGGAGGCUGCUGGGUGAUGCUUGCAGUUUGAGAAGAGCUCUGGGUGCUGAUGGCCCCUGACCUUCUUCAGCAGCUGCCGGGGGCCACUGUGCUAUGGCAGGGGCCACAGCCGAUACCUCCCCCUGACUGCUCCCCCCCCAGGCUAAAAAAUACCUUUAAAGAUUCAGGACUGACAUGAGAAAGGACUUCUUCACAGGCUGCAUCCUUAAACAGUGGGAUUUGCUGCCACAAAAGAUAACUGUGGCCACGAAUUUGGCUGGCCUUAGGACAAGGUAAUGGAGGAUGACCCUGUUUCUCACCUGUGCGCUUGAGUGGGGGGGGGGGGAGAUGCCUCUGAAUGCCCAUUGCUGAGAAUCACAAGUGGGGAGGGUGUUGUCGGCCCCUGGAAGAAGAGGAUGUUGGAUUCCGUGGGCCUUUGGCCUGUUCCAGCAGAGCUCUCUUUCCAUACUUAUAACCCAAAGUUAGAGAGACUCCCUUCAGGAAUCUGUGGCGGGAGUAGACAGUGAUAAUCAGGAUCCCCUGAUAACUGUCAUUGUUCAGUGUGGAACGAUUAAGUUCCCUGAUAAUGCAGCAGUUCACCCCCCCCCCCAAAAAAAAAUUAUUUGUGGAACAAACAGCCAUGCUUGCUCACUUGGCCGAGUCAUCAGGGGGUUGUGAAGAAGUGAGAUUAAUUGGGAGUCUAAGGUGUUUAGGGCUCGCAGGACAGUCAUCCUUAGUAUUGCCUCUCUCUCCAAAAAAAGAAGAAAAGUUUGGGGCAUGUUAAAUCUAUGCCUAAUUAAAAAAGAAGCGACUGUCGCUGUGGAGUCUGGAUAAGGAGAGCUCUGGUGAUCAGUCACAUGUCACUCAGCAAUGAAGAAGCCAUGAAGGAUUUGAAGUCUGCUUGCCAGUAAUGUCUUAUACAGCUUUGCUAGUUUAGUAGGGGUCAGAUACCACUGGUACAUCAUUUUCAUAUAAUUUUCUUUAAAUGUGCAACAUUCCAUAAAUUUUAAAUAACCUUUCCCAAUCUGCCACCUGAAUAUUAUGUCCCAAAUCCCUUGCCCAAUGUAUCAUUACCAACUUGACCUAUUGAUCUUUUGUAUGCCACUCUAAAAGCAAGCUAUACAUUUUAGAUAAUAAUUUAACAUUAUUUUCUCACAAAUCUUUUUGAAAUCUUGAUAUUUCACAACUAAAACCUUUAUUUUUAACUAUCUUAAAUAUAUCAUUCAUAAACAGGACUGUUCUUAAACCGAGGUACCACUGUAUUCACUUUUUUUCUAAGAUAUUGCUUCUACAGGGGGUUCUACAGGGUGUUUUUUGCUGUAAUAAGUUCUUGUAUAUUUCUCAUACCAUAAAGAUUGAUUUUCUUAGAUCAUUCUGAACACCUUUAUGCACCUUAGCUUCUCAUACCAUAAGUAUGCAUGCCAUCCAAAUCUGUUGUCAUGUCCUUCCAAAUCUAGUAAAUCUGCAUUUUUCAAUAUUAUCCAUUCCGAUAGCCAACAAAGCCAGGACACCUCAUAAUAAAAUUUUAAAUCUGGCAGGGCGAAGCCUCUUUCUUUAGCAUCUGUUAGCAAUUAAUAUUUUAUUCUAGGUCUCUUCCUUUGCCAGAAAUAUCUUUUUGCCAUUCAUUGAGGCAUCCUGUGUUGUUGAUCACCAGGACGGACUGAAAUAAAAAUAACAUUAUUGGCAUUAAAUUCAUUUUUAUAACUGAUAUUCUUCCCCCAAAAGAUAACUUCAUCCUACCCAAUAUUUCUAAAUUUCUCUAGAAUCUCUUUCCAAGUAUUUAUAUAAUUGUCUGUGAGUAUGUUAAUAUUUUUAGCUUUAAACCAUACCCCCAAAUAUUUUCUUAUGUAUACCUAUAUCUAUAAGCUGUUGUAGCUCCUUUUUAUAUUGUUCUGUCAGGUUUUUCACUAAGGUCUUAGUUUUAUUUUUAUUUAAUUUAAAGCCUACUACUUGUCCAAAUUCUUGGAUCCUCUCCAGAACCUUUGGUAAACUAUUCUUUGGAUCUUCUACAGUAAUCACGAGGUCUCGUCCUGCUUGAAGGUUUUCCACAGGCGUCUUUGUGCCCUUCUUGGGCGCUGGAGCUAAUGGACCACUUUUGUGUCCUUCAACCUAUGAUGACACACAAACGUCGCCAACAUCAUAUAGGGGAGGGAGCAAGGGGAGGCAGCCCUCUGACAGGUGGAGGGGAAAGUGUCUUUAUUCUGACAUGUGACACCACCCCGUGGAAUGCCCUCCCAUCAGAUGUCAACGAAAUAAGCAACUAUCUGACUUUUAGAAGACAUCUGAAGGCAGCCCUAUGUGGGGAAGUUUUUUAUGGUUGAAGUUUUAUUGCUCUGUAAUUAUUAUUAAUAAUAUUCUGUUGGGAGCUGCCCAGAGUGGGUAUGUUAUGUACUGAGUUGAAUAGGAUCCAAAAGGCAGCAGUCUGAUUGGUCCUAAAACAAGAGGGUCCAGAAUGAAGCAGUCUGAUUGGUCCUAGAACAAUAGGGUCCAGAAUGCAACAGAAUGAUUGGUCCACAGGAGCCACCCAAUCCAGCUCCAGGUGGAUGUGAAUCUGCAACCUGAUUGGCCUACGGGAGAAUCCCUGAAUUAGCCAAUCACGUGUGGCCCAUUGUGUAAAUAAUGUAUAUAAAGUAGACAUUCUGGGGGAACUUCCAUUCCUCCUCACCAACUAUGAGCUGAAUACAUAGCAUGAAAUCCACUCUCAACUCCGAGUAUAUUUCAGGGGUGUUGUCCACUCUAGGCAAAGUGGCCACUCCAGUCAGCUUCUCCCUGGGGUUCCCAACGUGGCCUUUGGCCCCUCCCAUUUGUAAUGAGGGCUGCUUUUUUGACCAAGGAUGGUGUGGAAGGGGCUGCGUGGUGUUGCCUGUCAGCAGUGGGGGUGGGCAUCGGGCCAGACCCCCAACUCAGGGUGCCCGGGGCAAGGGGUGUGUGCCACCGCCAAGGAGCAGGGGAAGGUGCUGGAGGGGACCGAGGGAUAAAACCAAGCCGAAGGUGGAGAGGAUUACGGCUUAUCUGCUCCCCCUGCCAAAAAUAUUUUUAUUCAAGUUGACACCCAUGCUUGUAAAGAUUGGUUUGCUGGAGGCUGCUGGGGGGGCAAGGCUGCUUUUGCUCUCUGGUCCUCCUUGCAGGUUUUGCAAAGGCGUCUGGGUGGCCCCUCUUGGGCGCUGGACCAAAUGGGCCACUUUUGUGUCCUUCCACGGGGUGAGUGGAGGCUCACAGGGAACCUAUGAUGACACACAAACGAGGCCAACAUCAUGUAGGGGAUGGAGGAAGGGGAGGUGGCGCUCAGGCAGGUGGGGGAGGGAAGUGUCUUUAUUCCAUCAUGUGCCACCACCCUGUGGGAAAUGCAGGGAAAGGUGAGCAGGCUGCACCGGUCAGUAGUCAGUGGCCCUGAUAGUGGAGCCAGAGUGAGUCCUGCCUGAUCUUUGAGAGGGGUCAAUUCCACAGGCAUGUGUUGUGCCAGCUGUUAGUAUCCCAGAAUAGAAAUCAGAUGCACCUGGUGCUGAAAAGACACUCCUUGGGGGGAGCACUGUGUAUUUGGGGUGGAGCUGAGGAA